RNAcentral lists this ribosomal RNA (443 nucleotides) under uncultured bacterium. RNAcentral describes it as "partial 16S ribosomal RNA". It matches the Rfam family "Bacterial small subunit ribosomal RNA", at positions 338 to 795 of the family's 1533-position model. The record is from RNAcentral.
CCUACGGGAGGCAGCAGUGGGGAAUAUUGGGCAAUGGGCGCAAGCCUGACCCAGCAACGCAGCGUGAAGGAAGAAGGCUUUCGGGUUGUAAACUUCUUUUAUCAGGGACGAAGCAAGUGACGGUACCUGAUGAUUAAGCCACGGCUAACUACGUGCCAGCAGCCGUGGUAAUACGUAGGUGGCAAGCGUUAUCCGGAUUUACUGGGUGUAAAGGGCGUGUAGGCGGGAGUGCAAGUCAGAUGUGAAAACUAUGGGCUCAACCCAUAGCCUGCAUUUGAAACUGGACUUCUUGAGUGCGGGAGAGGCAGUCGGAAUUCCUGGUGUAGCGGUGAAAUGCGUAGAUAUACGGAGGAACACCAAUUGCGAAGGCGGAUUGCUGGAGAGGAACUGACGCUGAGGCGCGAAAGCGUGGGGAGCGAACAGGAUGAGAUACCCCAGUAGUC